This 393-nucleotide ribosomal RNA is filed under the name uncultured bacterium. RNAcentral describes it as "partial 16S ribosomal RNA". It matches the Rfam family "Bacterial small subunit ribosomal RNA", at positions 523 to 918 of the family's 1533-position model. The record is from RNAcentral.
AUACGGAGGAUGCGAGCGUUAUCCGGAUUUAUUGGGUUUAAAGGGUGCGUAGGCGGAAAGUUAAGUCAGCGGUGAAACGCAGGUGUUCAACACCUGACCUGCCGUUGAGACUGGUUUUCUAGAAUGCGGAUGCUGUGGGAGGAAUGUGUGGUGUAGCGGUGAAAUGCAUAGAUAUCACACAGAACACCGAUUGCGAAGGCAUCUCACAAAUCCGCGAUUGACGCUGAGGCACGAAGGUGCGGGGAUCGAACAGGAUUAGAUACCCUGGUAGUCCGCACAGUAAACGAUGAUAACUCGCUGUCGGCGAUAGACAGUCGGUGGCCAAGCGAAAGCGAUAAGUUAUCCACCUGGGGAGUACGACCGCAAGGUUGAAACUCAAAUGAAUUGACGGGG